AGUCUGAGGCCCAUGCCAGAUGCAGCUAUCCCAGAAUCAGACAACCGCCAAUGCCAGUUUCUUGUGUAUCUUCCAGAUAUAUCCUAGGCAAAUCAUGCAUAUGUACCAGAAGCCAGCUUUGUUUCCUCUUUUGGACAGUGUGGUGUGGCUGAUGUGAAGCCUUCAAAUGCUGCAGCCCUUUUGCUUCUAAGAAGGGAGUCAAAUUAAGGAUGAAGCUCACGUUUUGGAAGGCUGAACUGACAGAUGGAAGGGAAAUUAGGUCCUCGAUGAUAUUGUUGUCUACAGAAUCAAACCAAUCACAGAGCCUGUUCAUCUCCUGGAAUUUGCAGUUGUAUGAGCCAAUAAAUCCUCUUUGUUGUUUAAGCCUA
This is a long non-coding RNA of Galeopterus variegatus (Sunda flying lemur), 368 nucleotides long. RefSeq lists it as uncharacterized. The transcript has 3 exons. Lineage: Eukaryota; Metazoa; Chordata; Mammalia; Dermoptera; Cynocephalidae. The record is from RefSeq and is a predicted model, not a curated record.